Molecule: ribosomal RNA, 254 nt
Filed under: uncultured bacterium
Lineage: Bacteria
Description: partial 16S ribosomal RNA
Rfam family: Bacterial small subunit ribosomal RNA
Source: RNAcentral
UACGUAGGGUGCGAGCGUUGCCCGGAUUUAUUGGGCGUAAAGGGCGCGCAGGCGGCUACGCACGUCCGUUGUGAAAUCGCUCGGCUCAACUGGGCGGGGUCAGCGGAUACGGCGUAGCUGGAGCAAGCUAGGGGGCAAUGGAAUUCCCGGUGUAGUGGUGGAAUGCGUAGAUAUCGGGGAGGAACACCAGUGGCGAAGGCGGUUGCCUGGAGCUUUGCUGACGCUGAGGCGCGAAAGCGUGGGGAGCGAUCCGG